This 253-nucleotide ribosomal RNA is filed under the name uncultured bacterium. Its description in RNAcentral is "partial 16S ribosomal RNA". It matches the Rfam family "Bacterial small subunit ribosomal RNA", at positions 524 to 776 of the family's 1533-position model. The record is from RNAcentral.
GACAGAGGGUGCAAACGUUGUUCGGAAUCACUGGGCGUAAAGCGCGUGUAGGCGGCAAUGCAAGUCGGAUGUGAAAUCCCGCGGCUCAACCGUGGAAGUGCACCCGAAACUGCAUAGCUUGAGUGUCGGAGAGGAAGGUGGAAUGCUUGGUGUAGAGGUGAAAUUCGUAGAUAUCAAGCGGAACACCGGUGGCGAAGGCGGCCUUCUGGACGACGACUGACGCUGAGACGCGAAAGCGUGGGUAGCAAACAGG